This 253-nucleotide ribosomal RNA is filed under the name uncultured bacterium. RNAcentral describes it as "partial 16S ribosomal RNA". It matches the Rfam family "Bacterial small subunit ribosomal RNA", at positions 524 to 776 of the family's 1533-position model. The record is from RNAcentral.
UACGUAGGGUGCGAGCGUUGUCCGGAAUUAUUGGGCGUAAAGGGCUCGUAGGCGGUUUGUCGCGUCGGGAGUGAAAACACCGGGCUUAACUCGGUGCUUGCUUUCGAUACGGGCAGACUAGAGGCAUGCAGGGGAGAACGGAAUUCCUGGUGUAGCGGUGAAAUGCGCAGAUAUCAGGAGGAACACCGGUGGCGAAGGCGGUUCUCUGGGCAUGUCCUGACGCUGAGGAGCGAAAGCUAGGGUAGCAAACGGG